AACGAACGCUGGCGGCAUGCCUAACACAUGCAAGUCGAACGAAGCCUCCGGGCUUAGUGGCGCACGGGUGCGUAACGCGUGGGAAUCUGCCCUUUGGUUCGGAAUAACAGUUGGAAACGACUGCUAAUACCGGAUGAUGACGAAAGUCCAAAGAUUUAUCGCCAGAGGAUGAGCCCGCGUAGGAUUAGCUAGUUGGUGUGGUAAAGGCGCACCAAGGCGACGAUCCUUAGCUGGUCUGAGAGGAUGAUCAGCCACACUGGGACUGAGACACGGCCCAGACUCCUACGGGAGGCAGCAGUGGGGAAUAUUGGACAAUGGGCGAAAGCCUGAUCCAGCAAUGCCGCGUGAGUGAUGAAGGCCCUAGGGUUGUAAAGCUCUUUUACCCAGGAUGAUAAUGACAGUACCGGGAGAAUAAGCCCCGGCUAACUCCGUGCCAGCCGCCGCGGUAA
RNAcentral lists this ribosomal RNA (449 nucleotides) under uncultured bacterium. RNAcentral describes it as "partial 16S ribosomal RNA". It matches the Rfam family "Bacterial small subunit ribosomal RNA", at positions 29 to 523 of the family's 1533-position model. The record is from RNAcentral.